This 755-nucleotide ribosomal RNA is filed under the name uncultured Mycoplasma sp. RNAcentral describes it as "bacterial SSU rRNA". It matches the Rfam family "Bacterial small subunit ribosomal RNA", at positions 28 to 776 of the family's 1533-position model. The record is from RNAcentral. Lineage: Bacteria; Bacillati; Mycoplasmatota; Mollicutes; Mycoplasmatales; Mycoplasmataceae.
GAUGAACGCUCGCUGUGUGCCUAAUACAUGCAUGUUGAACGGGAUGUAGCAAUACAUUCAGUAGCGAAUGGGUGAGUAACACGUACCUAACCUACCUUUAAGACUGGGAUAACUAUUGGAAACAAUAGCUAAUACCGGAUAUAGUUAUUUAUCGCAUGAUGAGUAAUAGAAAGGAGCUUCACAGCUUCACUUAAAAAUGGGGGUGCGGAACAUUAGUUAGUUGGUAGGGUAAUGGCCUACCAAGACGAUGAUGUUUAGCCGGGCCGAGAGGCUGUACGGCCACACUGGGACUGAGAUACGGCCCAGACUCCUACGGGAGGCAGCAGUAAGGAAUUUUCCACAAUGAGCGAAAGCUUGAUGGAGCGACACAGCGUGCAGGAUGAAGUUCUUCGGAAUGUAAACUGCUGUUAUAAGGGAAGAAAAAAUAGAAUAGGAAAUGAUUUUAUCUUGACGGUACCUUAUUAAAAAGCGACGGCAAACUAUGUGCCAGCAGCUGCGGUAAUACAUAGGUCGCAAGCGUUAUCCGGAAUUAUUGGGCGUAAAGCGUCCGUAGGUUUUUUGCUAAGUCUGGAGUUAAAUGCUGAAGCUCAACUUCAGUCCGCUUUGGAUACUGGCAAAAUAGAAUUAUAAAGAGGUUAGCGGAAUUCCUAGUGAAGCGGUGGAAUGCGUAGAUAUUAGGAAGAACACCAAUAGGCGAAGGCAGCUAACUGGUUAUAUAUUGACACUAAGGGACGAAAGCGUGGGGAGCAAACAGG